GACGAACGCUGGCGGCGUGCUUAACACAUGCAAGUCGAACGGAAAGGCCCUGCUUUUGUGGGGUGCUCGAGUGGCGAACGGGUGAGUAACACGUGAGUAACCUGCCCUUGACUUUGGGAUAACUUCAGGAAACUGGGGCUAAUACCGGAUAGGAGCUCCUGCUGCAUGGUGGGGGUUGGAAAGUUUCGGCGGUUGGGGAUGGACUCGCGGCUUAUCAGCUUGUUGGUGGGGUAGUGGCUGCCCAAGGCUUUGACGGGUAGCCGGCCUGAGAGGGUGGCCGGCCACAUUGGGCCUGAGGUACGGCCCAGACUCCUACGGGAGGCAGCAGGGGGGAAUAUGGCACAAUGGGCGGAAGCCUGAUGCAGCGACGCCGCGUGCGGGAUGACGGCCUUCGGGUUGUAAACCGCUUUCGCCUGUGACGAAGCGUGAGUGACGGUAAUGGGUAAAGAAGCACCGGCUAACUACGUG
RNAcentral lists this ribosomal RNA (468 nucleotides) under uncultured bacterium. Its description in RNAcentral is "partial 16S ribosomal RNA". It matches the Rfam family "Bacterial small subunit ribosomal RNA", at positions 28 to 507 of the family's 1533-position model. The record is from RNAcentral.